This 431-nucleotide ribosomal RNA is filed under the name uncultured bacterium. RNAcentral describes it as "bacterial SSU rRNA". It matches the Rfam family "Bacterial small subunit ribosomal RNA", at positions 29 to 507 of the family's 1533-position model. The record is from RNAcentral.
AACGAACGCUGGCGGCAGGCCUAACACAUGCAAGUCGAGCGCCCCGCAAGGGGAGCGGCGGACGGGUGAGUAACGCGUGGGAACGUGCCCCAAGGUACGGAAUAGCCCCGGGAAACUGGGGGUAAUACCGUAUGUGCCCUACGGGGGAAGGAUUUAUCGCCUUGGGAUCGGCCCGCGUUGGAUUAGGUAGUUGGUGGGGUAAUGGCCUACCAAGCCGACGAUCCAUAGCUGGUUUGAGAGGAUGAUCAGCCACACUGGGACUGAGACACGGCCCAGACUCCUACGGGAGGCAGCAGUGGGAAAUCUUAGACAAUGGGCGCAAGCCUGAUCUAGCCAUGCCGCGUGAGCGAUGAAGGCCUUAGGGUUGUAAAGCUCUUUCAGGGGGGAAGAUAAUGACUGUACCCCCAGAAGAAGCCCCGGCUAACUCCGUG